Molecule: small RNA, 76 nt
Filed under: Salix viminalis (osier)
Lineage: Eukaryota; Viridiplantae; Streptophyta; Magnoliopsida; Malpighiales; Salicaceae
Source: RNAcentral
CUCAAUGCAUGAUGACAUUCUAUACAAGUUAAGACUAUCUUUUAGAAUGCCAAACCUUAUUCUGGCUGAUGAUGAG